RNAcentral lists this ribosomal RNA (429 nucleotides) under Pseudomonadota bacterium. Its description in RNAcentral is "Proteobacteria bacterium partial 16S ribosomal RNA". It matches the Rfam family "Bacterial small subunit ribosomal RNA", at positions 355 to 776 of the family's 1533-position model. Lineage: Bacteria; Pseudomonadati; Pseudomonadota. The record is from RNAcentral.
UGGGGAAUAUUGGACAAUGGGCGAAAGCCUGAUCCAGCCAUGCCGCGUGUGUGAAGAAGGUCUUCGGAUUGUAAAGCACUUUAAGUUGGGAGGAAGGGCAGUAAGCGAAUACCUUGCUGUUUUGACGUUACCGACAGAAUAAGCACCGGCUAACUCUGUGCCAGCAGCCGCGGUAAUACAGAGGGUGCAAGCGUUAAUCGGAAUUACUGGGCGUAAAGCGCGCGUAGGUGGUUCGUUAAGUUGAAUGUGAAAGCCCCGGGCUCAACCUGGGAACUGCAUCCAAAACUUGCGAGGUAGAGUAGGGCAGAGGGUGGUGGAAUUUCCUGGGUAGCGGUGAAAUGCGUAGGUAUAGGGAGGAACACCAGUGGCGGAGGCGACCACCUGGGCUCAUACUGACACUGAGGUGCGAAAGCGUGGGGGGCAAACAGG